Long non-coding RNA from Crotalus tigris (Tiger rattlesnake), 404 nucleotides. RefSeq lists it as uncharacterized. The transcript has 3 exons. Lineage: Eukaryota; Metazoa; Chordata; Lepidosauria; Squamata; Viperidae. The record is from RefSeq and is a predicted model, not a curated record.
CCCAUUUCUAAUGCUACAGAUGAGGAAAACUAACAAUUACUCGUCUUCUCCCUUAGGAAUGGAAACAUUCUGGGCUAGCUCAGAUAUGGAUAGCUCCAACCUUUUGCAAGAUAUUGAAGACCUGACUGUUUCCCCAAGUAUAUAGAUCAGUAAGACAGAAGCAAAGAAGAUCUUCAUAAGGAGGAGGUUGGGGUCAAGUGCCAAAAAGCUGCAAGGAAAUACUACUGCUAUCCUUGUUACAGUUCUUCUUCAACUCCCUUGUCCCUGUACUCGCUUUUGGAAGCAACGAGACAUGGAGGUUCACAAACAGUUCAAAAGAGUGCUACAAUUGCAAUUUAAUUAAAUGCAUAUUCCUUAUAAACCAUCUGUUAAAAAAAAAAGCAGAAAAGGAACCAAUAAAUUAU